RNAcentral lists this microRNA precursor (202 nucleotides) under Oryza nivara. RNAcentral's name for it is "MIR812 microRNA precursor family". It matches the Rfam family "MIR812 microRNA precursor family". Lineage: Eukaryota; Viridiplantae; Streptophyta; Magnoliopsida; Poales; Poaceae. The record is from Rfam by way of RNAcentral.
UAUAAGGGAUUUUGAGUUUUUGCUUGCAACGUUUGACCACUCGUCUUAUUCAAAAUUUUCUAAAAUUAUUAUUUAUUUUAUUUGUGACUUACUUUAUUAUCUAUAGUACUUCAAGCACAACUUUUCGUUUUUUAUAUUUGUAAAAAAAAUUGAAUAAGACGAGUGAUCAAACGUUGCAAGCAAAAACUCAAAAUCUCUUAUA